This 306-nucleotide unclassified non-coding RNA is filed under the name soil metagenome. RNAcentral's name for it is "partial contains 5.8S ribosomal RNA, internal transcribed spacer 2, and large subunit ribosomal RNA". The stretch from base 1 to 120 matches the Rfam family "5.8S ribosomal RNA", at positions 35 to 154 of the family's 154-position model. The record is from RNAcentral.
GAUGAAGAACGUAGUGAAAUGCGAUAAGUAAUAUGAAUUGCAGAUAUUCGUGAAUCAUCGAAUCUUUGAACGCACAUUGCGCCCUUUGGUAUUCCAAAGGGCAUGUCUGUUUGAGCGUCAUUUCUCCCUCAAACCCUCGGGUUUGGUGUUGAGCGAUACGCUGGGUUUGCUUGAAAGAAAGGCGGAGUAUAAACUAAUGGAUAGGUUUUUUCCACUCAUUGGUACAAACUCCAAAACUUCUUCCAAAUUCGACCUCAAAUCAGGUAGGACUACCCGCUGAACUUAAGCAUAUCAAUAAGCGGAGGA